GGUUUAAUUCGACGCAACGCGAAGAACCUUACCUGGGCUUGAACUGCAGACGAUCGACGGCGAAAGUCGUUUCCCGCAAGGGCGUCUGUAGAGGUGCUGCAUGGCUGUCGUCAGCUCGUGUCGUGAGAUGUUGGGUUAAGUCCCGCAACGAGCGCAACCCUUGUCUGCUGUUGCCAUCAGGUUAAGCUGGGCACUCUGCGGAGACUGCCGGUGACAAACCGGA
This 223-nucleotide ribosomal RNA is filed under the name uncultured bacterium. RNAcentral describes it as "partial 16S ribosomal RNA". It matches the Rfam family "Bacterial small subunit ribosomal RNA", at positions 943 to 1167 of the family's 1533-position model. The record is from RNAcentral.